GACGAACGCUGGCGGCGUGCUUAACACAUGCAAGUCGAACGGAAAGGCCCUGCUUUUGUGGGGUGCUCGAGUGGCGAACGGGUGAGUAACACGUGAGUAACCUGCCCUUGACUUUGGGAUAACUUCAGGAAACUGGGGCUAAUACCGGAUAGGAGCUCCUGCUGCAUGGUGGGGGUUGGAAAGUUUCGGCGGUUGGGGAUGGACUCGCGGCUUAUCAGCUUGUUGGGGGGGUAGUGGCUUACCAAGGCUUUGACGGGUAGCCGGCCUGAGAGGGUUACCGGCCAAAAUGGGACUGAGAUACGGCCCAGACUCCAACGGGAGGCAGCAGUGGGGAAUAUUGCACAAUGGGCGGAAGCCUGAUGCAGCAACGCCGCGUGCGGGAUGACGGCCUUCGGGUUGUAAACCGCUUUCGCCUGUGACGAAGCGUGAGUGACGGUAAUGGGUAAAGAAGCACCGGCUAACUACGUG
RNAcentral lists this ribosomal RNA (468 nucleotides) under uncultured bacterium. Its description in RNAcentral is "partial 16S ribosomal RNA". It matches the Rfam family "Bacterial small subunit ribosomal RNA", at positions 28 to 507 of the family's 1533-position model. The record is from RNAcentral.